GUGGGGAAUUUUGGACAAUGGGCGCAAGCCUGAUCCAGCAAUGCCGCGUGCAGGAAGAAGGCCUUCGGGUUGUAAACUGCUUUUGUACGGAACGAAACGGUCCGGGUUAAUACCCUGGGCUAAUGACGGUACCGUAAGAAUAAGCACCGGCUAACUACGUGCCAGCAGCCGCGGUAAUACGUAGGGUGCAAGCGUUAAUCGGAAUUACUGGGCGUAAAGCGUGCGCAGGCGGUUUUGUAAGACAGGCGUGAAAUCCCCGGGCUCAACCUGGGAAUUGCGCUUGUGACUGCAAGGCUGGAGUGCGGCAGAGGGGGAUGGAAUUCCGCGUGUAGCAGUGAAAUGCGUAGAUAUGCGGAGGAACACCGAUGGUGAAGGCAAUCCCCUGGGCCUGCACUGACGCUCAUGCACGAAAGCGUGGGGAGCAAACAGGAUUAGAAACCCUGGUAGUCC
Molecule: ribosomal RNA, 450 nt
Filed under: uncultured bacterium
Lineage: Bacteria
Description: partial 16S ribosomal RNA
Rfam family: Bacterial small subunit ribosomal RNA
Source: RNAcentral